CCCGGGUAUGCCAGAUCCGCCACAAAUAUAGGGAGUCCACUGUUCACACGGACAGAGUCUGUUCUGUAUUUGUACGGCGUCGCACAAGUACAAGAUACAACAACACACAUAUAAAUAUCCAUAUAUAUUCACCAUUCGCAUCCACAUCCAAUUCAUCACAAUAUUCAUAUAUCCACUUCUAUUAGUUUAAAAUGUUUCUUAUCCGGAAACUCAUUUUGAAACACUAAGCCAUGAAAACCAAGAAAUACUUUUUUAAAACUGUUUCCCACCCAAAAACCUUUUUCUUUUAAAAACGCACUACCACGAAGGAUAGAAAACCAUUUCUAUUUCGUAAGAAAUCCAUAAAUCCUUUAUUACAUUCACAAAAUCCCAAUUAUUCAAAUAAAGGAAACCGCUGAAUAAAU
RNAcentral lists this long non-coding RNA (404 nucleotides) under Ananas comosus (pineapple). RNAcentral describes it as "long non-coding RNA (ACOM_LNC044649)". Lineage: Eukaryota; Viridiplantae; Streptophyta; Magnoliopsida; Poales; Bromeliaceae. The record is from RNAcentral.